AGAGUUUGAUCAUGGCUCAGAUUGAACGCUGGCGGCAGGCCUAACACAUGCAAGUCGAGCGCGGAAACACUUCGGUGUGAGUAGAGCGGCGGACGGGUGAGUAAUGCUUGGGAAUCUGCCCAGUAGUGGGGGAUAACGUGUGGAAACGCACGCUAAUACCGCAUACGUCCUACGGGAGAAAGCAGGGGAUCUUCGGACCUUGCGCUAUUGGAUGAGCCCAAGUCAGAUUAGCUAGUUGGUGAGGUAAUGGCUCACCAAGGCGACGAUCUGUAGCUGGUCUGAGAGGAUGAUCAGCCACACUGGGACUGAGACACGGCCCAGACUCCUACGGGAGGCAGCAGUGGGGAAUAUUGCAC
RNAcentral lists this ribosomal RNA (356 nucleotides) under uncultured marine bacterium. RNAcentral describes it as "bacterial SSU rRNA". It matches the Rfam family "Bacterial small subunit ribosomal RNA", at positions 8 to 369 of the family's 1533-position model. The record is from RNAcentral.